UACGGGGGGGGCAAGCGUUGUUCGGAAUUACUGGGCGUAAAGGGCUCGUAGGUGGCCAACUAAGUCGGACGUGAAAUCCCUCGGCUUAACCGGGGAACUGCGUCCGAUACUGGAUGGCUUGAGUUUGGGAGAGGGAUGCGGAAUUCCAGGUGUAGCGGUGAAAUGCGUAGAUAUCAGGAGGAACACCGGUGGCGAAGGCGGCUUCCUGGACAAUAACUGACGCUGAGGCGCGAAAGCUAGGGGAGCAAACAGG
RNAcentral lists this ribosomal RNA (253 nucleotides) under uncultured bacterium. RNAcentral's name for it is "partial 16S ribosomal RNA". It matches the Rfam family "Bacterial small subunit ribosomal RNA", at positions 524 to 776 of the family's 1533-position model. The record is from RNAcentral.